UACGUAGGGGGCAAGCGUUGUCCGGAAUCAUUGGGCGUAAAGCGCGUGUAGGCGGUCCGGUAAGUCCGCUGUGAAAGUCGGGGGCUCAACCCUCGGAUGCCGGUGGAUACUGUCGGGCUUGAGUACGGAAGAGGCGAGUGGAAUUCCUGGUGUAGCGGUGAAGUGCGCAGAUAUCAGGAGGAACACCAAUUGCGAAGGCAGCUCGCUGGGACGUUACUGACGCUGAGACGCGAAAGCGUGGGGAGCAAACAGG
RNAcentral lists this ribosomal RNA (253 nucleotides) under uncultured bacterium. Its description in RNAcentral is "partial 16S ribosomal RNA". It matches the Rfam family "Bacterial small subunit ribosomal RNA", at positions 524 to 776 of the family's 1533-position model. The record is from RNAcentral.